Molecule: long non-coding RNA, 2284 nt
Filed under: Nicotiana benthamiana
Lineage: Eukaryota; Viridiplantae; Streptophyta; Magnoliopsida; Solanales; Solanaceae
Description: long non-coding RNA (NBEN_LNC035424)
Source: RNAcentral
UUCGAAAUGGAAUAGUUAAAGCAUGCUUUCUCUUAAAGUUCUGAACCAGUAACUUCAUCCAAACGCUGAAAAUUAGAACUACACUAAACUAAACACUUAAUAAUCAUGUCACAAGGCAUUAUACUCUAGCACUUUUAAUUACUUCGUUCCAUAAAGGAACUUCCCAGCAAACCUCCAAAAUGAAAAUUAUGAGGCUCACGUUAGCCUCCUUAACACUCACAGAUGCAGCAAAUCAUAAACACUAUAGUGGCAGCCCCUUUUAUUACAAAAUUCAAAUUCUCAGCAAUAGUAAAGGCAACUAAAAAACAUAGUGAAAAGUGAGUCAUUGCCGAAGGUGAAUCAAUUAUAACCUUCUCACAUACAUCUAACACCAAUUAAUACCACUACGAAGAUAUGUAACUUAAACAAAUUUAAUAUUCAGAAAUAAGACAUGAAACUAAAAAAAAACUAAUUCAAAGAAAAUGGUGCAGCACUUUCACAUUCCAAAAUCCAACUCUCCAUUACAUUCAAGUGAUAUCCAUAAGUGUCAAGGAAUACCUGGAUAGAGUAAGAAACAAAGAGGUAAAAGGAUCAGUAGUCUAGAGCAGUAAAACGAGCAGCAGAAUUCGAAGCCAGAUCCAGCAAAAACAUCAUAAAUAGCCAACGGAAACCAAUGGAACAGUAACUUCCCAACAGAAUUUGACCCAAAACUUGAAGAACUCCAAAUUUAAAGUAUCUCAAUCUUAGAAGGAACCAAAGAUGUUUUAAUCUAAAAAUUUCAACACUCAAACCGCAGAUAUUAAUGGAGUCCUAUUUCUUAGAUUUUUGUAGCCGUGAGUAUUUUCUUAGAAUUUUAUCUCUUUAGGUCUUCCCUAAACUUUUAAAUUUUUGUGUGUGUUUUAAGAUUUCCAGCUUCUAAUCCCUAGCUUGAAAAGCAAGUUUGCAAUGCCUUUAUAGGCAAGCAAAUAGGGCAUCCCUCUGUUUUUAGUUUUGCACCCCUAGUCCCUCUUUUAUUUCCAAAUUUUAACUGUUUAGUCCCUUAUUUGUUAGCUUAUAGCUCAAGUUUUAAUACUAAGCUACUGAAAUUUUAAAUAAAACCCUCUUCUAGAAUAGUCUAAGAAGUUCCAGUUUCAACUACAGCACUAUUCUCUAUUUGGGAAUGCAUAUACUAACCUUUACUUAAUCUAAAAUUUACCAAACCAGCCAAACUAACUCUCAACUUGUUAACCUUAGUCCAAACUAAUCAAAGUUAGUCAAAGCAGGGUUGGGGUAUUCAGCUAUAUCCAAACCAAUCUAGAAAAGAAAAUCAAUUUACCUAAACACAUUAAUUCUAACCAACCUAGGAUAAUCGAUGAACUAACCAUAAACGCACAGGACUAAGAUCAAUUCAACCAUAACAUCCUUGAAUCAAUUAAUUGAAACCAAAUACAAAAUCAAAACAAAACAGAAUCAAAUCAAAACUACUAAAACAAAUCAGAAUUAACAUGAAGAAAAAUAUAACCAGCUGAAAAAGACUUACUGACUUAAAACAGAUGAUGACUCAAAGUAAUUAAAUCAUGAAGCAAAACAAUCAUGGGAGUGAAAUUAAUUCAAAUAACAAAAUAAACAAUUAAGAAAAUUCACUAGUUUUGAGUGUUUAACUUGGCUGACCUUGAAUUUGAUCCUCGAAUAAUGUUAUGCACUUGUUCUUUACCAAGAACAAUACAUAGCAUUAUUCAAGACCCAAGUCAAACACUGGCGACCUUGGAAAGCCGAACAGCCUUGAACGGAACCCUAUAUUUAAGAAUUGUGCAAUUCUGGAUGGUUUCGAAGGAAACUAAUGACAUAUUAAGCAUGAGGGAGGGAAAGGGGUUAUGGGGUGUUGUUUUGGAGGUAUUUGGGUGAUUUUGGAGUUUGACCGUUUCCUUUGAUUUAAGAUUCGAACACUUCAACUAGGAUUUGAGGGAAAUUUAGUAUAGAUUUGGAAAGAGGAGAAGGAGAAGUACCUAGGGUGUUAAUCUGGUAACAUUUAGAGGUGGCCCCGCCGUGGACGGCGAAGGCGGCAACCACGAAUUUGGAUAUUCGACGGGCUUGGCUAGGUUUUGGAGGAAACUGAUGGUGGGGGUGGAAAGGGGAAGUGGAGAGGGCGUUUGGUGUCCGGUUGUCGCCGUUAGGCGAUUUUCGGCGGUGAUUUUAGGGUGGUGGAUGGUGGAGCAUCUCUGGUUAGAAUGGGAGUGAGAGAGACAAGACUUGGGGGUAGGGGGCUCCGACACUUUUUACUCAAGACACCCUAUCUUUCUGAGUCAUAGGGUCCAAGAUUCUCGAC